Molecule: unclassified non-coding RNA, 320 nt
Filed under: plant metagenome
Description: partial contains 5.8S ribosomal RNA, internal transcribed spacer 2, and large subunit ribosomal RNA
Rfam family: 5.8S ribosomal RNA (bases 1-105)
Source: RNAcentral
GAAAUGCGUUAAGUAAUGUGAAUUGCAGAAUUCAGUGAAUCAUCGAAUCUUUGAACGCACAUUGCGCCCGCCAGUAUUCUGGCGGGCAUGCCUGUUCGAGCGUCAUUACAACCCUCAGGCCCCCGGGCCUGGCGUUGGGGAUCGGCGGAAGCCCCCUGCGGGCACAACGCCGUCCCCCAAAUACAGUGGCGGUCCCGCCGCAGCUUCCAUUGCGUAGUAGCUAACACCUCGCAACUGGAGAGCGGCGCGGCCACGCCGUAAAACACCCAACUUCUGAAUGUUGACCUCGAAUCAGGUAGGAAUACCCGCUGAACUUAAGC